AGAGUUUGAUCCUGGCUCAGGACGAACGCUGGCGGCGUGCCUAAUACAUGCAAGUCGAGCGAGCUUGCCUAGAUGAUUUUAGUGCUUGCACUAAAUGAAACUAGAUACAAGCGAGCGGCGGACGGGUGAGUAACACGUGGGUAACCUGCCCAAGAGACUGGGAUAACACCUGGAAACAGAUGCUAAUACCGGAUAAUAACACUAGACGCAUGUCUAGAGUUUGAAAGAUGGUUCUGCUAUCACUCUUGGAUGGACCUGCGGUGCAUUAGCUAGUUGGUAAGGUAACGGCUUACCAAGGCAAUGAUGCAUAGCCGAGUUGAGAGACUGAUCGGCCACAUUGGGACUGAGACACGGCCCAAACUCCUACGGGAGGCAGCAGUAGGGAAUCUUCCACAAUGGACGAAAGUCUGAUGGAGCAACGCCGCGUGAGUGAAGAAGGGUUUCGGCUCGUAAAGCUCUGUUGGUAGUGAAGAAAGAUAGAGGUAGUAACUGGCCUUUAUUUGACGGUAAUUACUUAGAAAGUCACGGCUAACUACGUGCCAGCAGCCGCGGUAAUACGUAGGUGGCAAGCGUUGUCCGGAUUUAUUGGGCGUAAAGCGAGUGCAGGCGGUUCAAUAAGUCUGAUGUGAAAGCCUUCGGCUCAACCGGAGAAUUGCAUCAGAAACUGUUGAACUUGAGUGCAGAAGAGGAGAGUGGAACUCCAUGUGUAGCGGUGGAAUGCGUAGAUAUAUGGAAGAACACCAGUGGCGAAGGCGGCUCUCUGGUCUGCAACUGACGCUGAGGCUCGAAAGCAUGGGGAGCAAACAGGAUUAGAUACCCUGGUAGUCCACGCCGUAAACGAUGACUACUAGGUGUCGGGAGGCAAAGCCUUUCGGUGCCGCAGCCAACGCAAUAAGUAGUCCACCUGGGGAGUACGUUCGCAAGAAUGAAACUCAAAGGAAUUGACGGGGACCCGCACAAGCGGUGGAGCAUGUGGUUUAAUUCGAAGCAACGCGAAGAACCUUACCUGGCCUUGACAUCCCGGUGACAGCGAAGUAAUGUUCGUUUUCCUUCGGGACACUGGAGACAGGUGGUGCAUGGUUGUCGUCAGCUCGUGUCGUGAGAUGUUGGGUUAAGUCCCGCAACGAGCGCAACCCUUACCUUCAGUAGCCAGCAUUUAGGAUGGGCACUCUGGAGGGACUGCCAGGGACAACCUGGAGGAAGGUGGGGAUGACGUCAAAUCAUCAUGCCCCUUAUGGCCAGGGCUACACACGUGCUACAAUGGCGUAAACAAAGAGAAGCGACCACGCGAGUGUGAGCGAAUCUCAAAAAUAACGUCUCAGUUCGGAUUGUAGUCUGCAACUCGACUACAUGAAGCUGGAAUCGCUAGUAAUCGCAGAUCAGAAUGCUGCGGUGAAUACGUUCCCGGGUCUUGUACUCACCGCCCGUCA
This 1430-nucleotide ribosomal RNA is filed under the name uncultured bacterium. Its description in RNAcentral is "bacterial SSU rRNA". It matches the Rfam family "Bacterial small subunit ribosomal RNA". The record is from RNAcentral.